Molecule: unclassified non-coding RNA, 103 nt
Organism: Otolemur garnettii (small-eared galago)
Lineage: Eukaryota; Metazoa; Chordata; Mammalia; Primates; Galagidae
Rfam family: Y RNA
About the family: Y RNAs are components of the Ro ribonucleoprotein particle (Ro RNP), in association with Ro60 and La proteins. The Y RNAs and Ro60 and La proteins are well conserved, but the function of the Ro RNP is not known.
Source: Ensembl
GGUGGGUCUGAAUGCAGAGGUGUGUACAUCUAAAUUGAUCCUAAGCAGUUAUGGAUUUCUUUUUUUCUCCUCUACUCUCGCUGCUUCAUUUGACCAGCCUUAA